Molecule: long non-coding RNA, 2705 nt
Filed under: Numida meleagris (helmeted guineafowl)
Lineage: Eukaryota; Metazoa; Chordata; Aves; Galliformes; Numididae
Description: lncRNA (ENSNMEG00000004122.1)
Source: RNAcentral
CCUGUGAGGAGCUGCAGCCGCCAUGAGGCCUCCCCUCAGCUCCUCUGCUGUGUGCUGCACGAACCCAGGCACCUCAGCUGCUCCUCAUGCAUUUUGCUCCCCACCACCCUUCACCAUCUUUGUAGCCUUCCUUUGGAUGCUCUCUAAUAGCUUGCUGUCCUUCUGCUAUUGUGGCACCCAAACCUGCACCCAGUGCUUGAGGUGAGGCUGCACAGCCUCUGAUAAAUCAAGAUCGUUUUGCAAGACGUAUCUACUCUCAAGGAAGUCAACAGUUCCUCCUAAGUUAGUGACUUUCACUUAGUUGUUAUACCUUCAAAUUCUGCAUCCAAGCCAUUAAAAAGCCCUGAAACGGAGCCCUGUGGAAUCCCACCAGUGACUGAGGUUCUAGAAAAUUUAGAAUAUAUUCACUCUCUCCUGACAGGAGCACUUCUGGUGUCUGACUGAGCCUCUCGGCCCAGGUGAUGCCCUUUAGCUCCUGCUCUUGCUGGCAGAUGACAUGCAGUUACCCACUACACGCCACGGUCAUGGUAUGAUGACGUCAUAACUAACGACAGAGUGAAGUUUUUACUUUAAAACACCUUCCUGUAUUAAAAGCCUCUGACGCAGUAUGGCAUGUUCCGUGUGGAUGUUCCUGCUUCUUCCACUUGGUUCUCAGGUUUUAAAAGAAAAUCAGAAAAUUCAGAGAGAGAUUUGUCCGAAGGAGAAAACUGGGUGUUUUGCAAGGUCCCAUACCCACUGUUUGGUGAAAGGGAAACCCAAAUGCUCUCCAACAGGAAUCCAGCAUAGACAACUAGGAUGCAGAAUGUACAUCAGCACGUGAGUUGAAUCCUGUCUGUGUGCACUGGAGCUCUUUUCUAGUUGACCAGGAAAAGAAAUGCAGUGUAAAGCCAUAACAACACAUGAGGAAUUAAGGAGAUGCUGAUUUCCUUGUUGGGAUGACACUUCAUACAGGUUGCACUAGAACAUUAUUUUGCUCUUCUUGUUUAUUUGCAUGCUCUUUCUAUACCUGUUUGGGAAAAACACGGUUUUCAUAGAGGUUCUCAAUACUUGUUUUCCAAAGAGUUUGGUGCAUUGGAUGAACUCUUACCAGUCAGUAGGAAAAGAGAGGCCUGGGAUCUAAGGCAGAUUUCAGAGCAGCAGCUAUUAACCUUAGUCUCUCUUUAUUCCCUCCUCCCUUCCAUCUGUAGGAGAUACCAAGAUGGAAAAGUAUUAUUAUAAAAAUAGUAAAACUGGUAUGGUUCUGAGUCAGUAAUGCACAGCACUGCACUCAAAGUGCCUAACGUAAACUAGAUAGGCAUCAUUGUACAUGGCAUAUUGGUUGUUUCUUGCAAGAAGUAAAACUUUUUUUUUUUUUGAUUUUCACACACUUUCACAUACAGUGAGACAAUGUGGUAGUUUUUGGGACAACACUUUAGAGACGUGUGAAAUACAUAAGAUGCGUGAUGUUAAUUAAUAUACCGCAGAGAGUCCUCUAUGCACGCUCUGUUUACAGCCAGUCCUGCAGGAGCAUUUUAGAAGCAAACAGUGCAGUAAAAUGACGGUAAUGGGGCACCCAGCAGAGACUAUGGCUCAUGCUGAGAAAAAGCCUGCUGUGAGGAUGGAUGCCUAAGUCAGAUAUUUACAUUAAGGAUCUAAGAAAAGAAACAAAGGGAAAGAUCAAAACAUGACAGAACCGCAAGCAUAACAAUGCAACAGCACAGUAAAAGAAAAGAUCUUUCCUUCUUUGUAUGUGGAACAUUCUUAGAAAAAAAUAGGUAGAAGGAAAUGGCUAUUGUCAGUCCAAAGCUAAUUAUUUAAAUAUUUAAAUAUUUAAAUAUUUAAAUAUUUAAUCCAAACUCAAAGAAGUCCAGUUCACAGUACUCAUCAGACUCAGAUAAGCAAUGCUCCUGAGCGGGCCUUAAGCCUCAGCUCCUUUCCCCUUCAUAAGGGAGAUCAAAUGGCUAGCUGUAUUACAAAGCUUUAAUCUGUAAUUAUGUGUGAAACCUGGGAGGACAGGUUGCCGAAGAAGGCAAGGGGAGGGAGAAGACUACAGAAUAAUUUUAGGAGCCUGGCUAACUUAUUCAAGUGCCUGAAGUUUGUUGAAGUGUGUAAAUAACUACAGUUCCAUGCCUGUGUAUCCUCCCACCAAUGUUCUCAUAUGAGUAACAUGUAUUUAAUGAAAAAGAGAAUAUUGCCACUGAGAAAAAAUGCCAUGCUUUCUGCUUCACACUUGAGCUAGGAGCAAGCAUAUAUACACAUAUACAUAUACAUCCACAUAAGAAAUGCUGCAAACUACAGUAACUGAGCAGCAAGUUCAGCUUAAAAGUGUAGGAUUUCAUUUCAGUGUGAUGCAGAUCUGUUAAUAUAAUAUGAUCUGUUAUUAAAAGCCUGCUUACGAGGCUGCAGUUUUUUCAGGCUGAAGCAGAAGGAUCUAUAAAAAAGCAUUUGCAAACAGCUUACUGAAUUCAAACAAGCAAAAGAGGAAUACUUCAUUUGGAGAUGGCAGUGGUUGCAUUCUUGUCAGUGUGUCAGAUUGGAGUGCUCUCCUGUGAAUGGCAUGCCCAACUCACCCUUGUAUGUCCAGCAACCCCAAGCUUAGGCUAAAGCAAGUGGACUUGUAUUGUUACCACAUGUAGUGGUAAGGAAGAGGUUUAACAUGGAAAUGGUCCUACAGAAAAGGUUUAUUAUGCAAUAAAGCAAUCUGGAACAAUGUCUAAGACCUAUGA